CAAAUUUAGAAAAUGUCUCAUCCAGCGUAAAGAAGCUUGAAACCCUAAAUUGAACCUCAGCAUAUAAAUGUGCUUGCUGUAUUUGCGAAGGUUUCUAUCGCGACGACCGAGGGCGGGAUUUUGAAACUCCGGAGAUAGCAGAUUUCGGGUGCGAGAUCACGAGGGCACCCGCUACACCCCGCUGCUGUGCUUUCACCAAUGGCAAGAAAUGCUCUGCCUAGUGAGGCAGAAAGGUGCCAUGAAAUCUCCGCAAGCGAAAUGCAUGGCAGUCUGGCACCAGGCAAGAGACGGGCGGAGGGAACAAGGGCGGAGCUCAUGAGGAAACGGGAGAGGAGAGAAACAGUUCCAGACAGCUGCGGAGGAGCAGGUGGUAUGGUGGAGCGCACGCGAAAGAAAGAGGUGCGCAACCGCAGCAAUGGAAUGGGCCGAAGGUUCCAGAAAGUGGAAAGGAUAUGGACCGAGAGGAUAAAUUACUGCUUCAAUGGCUUCUCUUAGCCUCCUCCUUUGCCUUCCCUUCCCUUGUCUCUUGCGUUUCUUGCAACAUCUUCCAUCGCCGAUGGCAUAUCUACUACAAGCAGUGGUGAACACAAACAUGAAAGCAGAAGUGCUGUCCACAGAGAGAGAGAGAGAGAGAGAGAGAGAGCCAUGUGCGGAUGUUGUAGAUGUUGCAUGGGUUGAGCUGCCUUUUGGUGUCGAGCAGAGGAGUCGAAGGAUUGAUCCGAAGUUGAAAUGGAGUAGUCUACAACUGGAUGUGAGGUUCCCGCUUUUAAUGAUUCCUUGUAUUGGUCUCUAGAGGGCGGCAAAGGAGAGGGGGAGGGAGAAGGUGGGGGUUGCAUUCAGGAAUGAUGUUCCUCCCUCUAGAUACGUGCUUACUUCUCCUCCUCCUCCUCCUCCUGCUGCUGCCCUUGUCGUUUACUUCCUCUUCGUCUUCUAAUUCUUCUGCGUAGAGUAGCGUAGGUUCAAGCGGCACUGGGCAAGGGAAGGUAUCCCUUCCUGGAGCAGUUGUCGUGUUGAGCUUGGAAUUGUGCUGCAUUCUUCUCCUCCCAUGCCAUUGCCUUCCAUGGAUUGGGUUCCGUUUCAAGUAUCCAGUUGUUCCUUCUAAAACUCGAACAUGUUCCUCAACUUCUGGUGUCACCCAGAAGGUGAACUCAAUUUUGAAAUAUCAAUUUCUCGGGGAAAAACACUUGAAUUUUGAA
Long non-coding RNA from Physcomitrium patens, 1196 nucleotides. RefSeq lists it as uncharacterized. NCBI's taxonomy places the organism in Eukaryota, Viridiplantae, Streptophyta, Bryopsida, Funariales, Funariaceae. The record is from RefSeq and is a predicted model, not a curated record.